GUGAGUAGUUCAGAGUUUGAUCCUGGCUCAGGACGAACGCUGGCGGCGUGCCUAACACAUGCAAGUCGAACGGAGUUAAGACUCGGUUUUAACUUAGUGGCGAACGGGUGAGUAACGCGUGAGAAACCUGCCUUUCAGUGGGGGACAACAGUUAGAAAUGACUGCUAAUACCGCAUAACCCGCUAGGGCCGCAUGGCCCAGACGGAAAAGAUUUAUCGGUACGAGAUGGACCCGCGUCUGAUUAGCUAGUUGGUGAGGUAACGGCCCACCAAGGCGACGAUCAGUAGCCGGCCUGAGAGGGUGAACGGCCACAUUGGGACUGAGACACGGCCCAA
RNAcentral lists this ribosomal RNA (335 nucleotides) under uncultured bacterium. RNAcentral's name for it is "bacterial SSU rRNA". It matches the Rfam family "Bacterial small subunit ribosomal RNA", at positions 1 to 334 of the family's 1533-position model. The record is from RNAcentral.